This 204-nucleotide long non-coding RNA is filed under the name Carica papaya (papaya). RNAcentral describes it as "long non-coding RNA (CPAP_LNC008845)". The record is from RNAcentral. Lineage: Eukaryota; Viridiplantae; Streptophyta; Magnoliopsida; Brassicales; Caricaceae.
GCGCCGCUGGGCUUCGACUGGGUUUUCCAGCCGUUUGGCCGGUGGUUUGGCUCCGAUUUGGCCAUAGGCGGACUCAGCAUCGAAAAACGAGCAGGGAGGAGAAAAUUUACCUCAAUCGGCGGUCGAAAACUUCCCCGGUGCGGCGGCGGGUGGCGGCGGCCGGCUCCUCCGGCGUCUGGUUCUUCUUCUCCGGCGAGGCACUGG